AAAGGGAGACCUAAUUCAGGUAAAAGACGAAAAAAAAGUAGUCGCUACCAAGAAUCAAUCCCAAAAGGUCGGAACGAGGUAUGAGGCUUUCAAACUAGGUUCUGGGUUCAUAAAAGACCUGAAUCAGGAACAAGGGCUAUUAGCUCAGGUGGUUAGAGCGCACCCCUGAUAAGGGUGAGGUCCCUGGUUCGAGUCCAGGAUGGCCCACCUGCACAGGUGGCAAAAAGAAAGAAAAGAAGCGAGGAAUCAGCACCUUAUCUUACUGACAUAGUAAGAGAGAAUGCUGGCUCUGAGUAAAGAGUCCAGAGGAACCUUGAAAACUGCAUAGAGCUAGGUGAAAAAGCCAAAAAAGAAGACCGCAAG
This 363-nucleotide transfer RNA is filed under the name uncultured Microcystis sp. RNAcentral's name for it is "partial 16S-23S ribosomal RNA intergenic spacer". The stretch from base 134 to 207 matches the Rfam family "tRNA". Lineage: Bacteria; Bacillati; Cyanobacteriota; Cyanophyceae; Chroococcales; Microcystaceae. The record is from RNAcentral.